Molecule: long non-coding RNA, 638 nt
Organism: Alosa sapidissima (American shad)
Lineage: Eukaryota; Metazoa; Chordata; Actinopteri; Clupeiformes; Clupeidae
Exons: 3
Source: RefSeq, a predicted model, not a curated record
UGCAAGAUGUAGUUUGUCUGAAGAGUUUUCUUUGCCCAGCAUUGUAACUUUCUUUUAAUGUUCCUGUCAUGCAUGUUUAAACUUAACUUUUAUGCUAAGGAUUUACUGGGUUCACGAGGUGGAAUUCCCGUGUUAACGUUACUAACGUUAGAACUAGCUUAAUGGAUAUCAAGAAAGAAGUGGUGGACUGGAUGAAGCUGGAUGAUGGACUUUUCUAAUCAGGAUUUCUGGAGCAAGGACUGCAGGACUUCCAGCUACUGUUUGGAGAAGAUAUUUCUUCUCAAUUUUUGGAAGUGGGGAAAUUUUCUGAAGCCAGAAAUCAUCAAAGUAUCCAAGAACCUCACCAAGAUGUGGACCGAGAUGUGGAUCCAGAGCACUGUAGACAAUCACAUAAUUGCGCCAGUUCAGUACGUAUACAUGUUUUUAUAUUUUGCCAGAACUUCCUGGUGUUUAGACAUGAUUAUUUAAAUCCAUUCAUGAAUUGUAACAAUGAGGAACAAAUUUAAUGCCUUUAGUAUAUUGCUUUUUAUGAAUGUCAGCUGUAUUGUUUCAAACUAGAUUGUGGAUUUUAUCCAAACAUUGUAAUGCUUUUUUGACACUGUCUUGACAGGUUUGAAAUUAAAUAUGUUGAACCGUGA